GACAGAGGGUGCAAACGUUGUUCGGAAUUACUGGGCGUAAAGCACGUGUAGGCGGCCCUGCAAGUCGGAUGUGAAAUCCCACGGCUCAACCGUGGAAGUGCAUUCGAAACUGCAGGGCUAGAGUCCUGGAGAGGAAGGUGGAAUGCUUGGUGUAGAGGUGAAAUUCGUAGAUAUCAAGCGGAACACCGGUGGCGAAGGCGGCCUUCUGGACAGUGACUGACGCUGAGACGCGAAAGCGUGGGGAGCAAACAGG
This 253-nucleotide ribosomal RNA is filed under the name uncultured bacterium. RNAcentral describes it as "partial 16S ribosomal RNA". It matches the Rfam family "Bacterial small subunit ribosomal RNA", at positions 524 to 776 of the family's 1533-position model. The record is from RNAcentral.